CGGUGUUUAACUGGCGUGAUGUGGGACGUCCUACCGGUGGGCUUAGCCUCGCGAGGGGCGGCCCAACUAAUAUCCCGUCGCGGUGCUCUUUACUGAGUGUCGAGUCGGGCCGGUACGUUUACUUUGAACAAAUUAGAGUGCUUAAAGCAGGCUAUCCUCGCCUGAAUACUGCGUGCAUGGAAUAAUGGAAUAGGACCUCGGUUCUAUUUUGUUGGUUUUCGGAACCCCGAGGUAAUGAUUAAUAGGGACAGAUGGGGGCAUUCGUAUUGCGACGUUAGAGGUGAAAUUCUUGGAUCGUCGCAAGACGGACAGAAGCGAAAGCAUUUGCCAAAAAUGUUUUCAUUAAUCAAGAACGAAAGUUAGAGGUUCGAAGGCGAUCAGAUACCGCCCUAGUUCUAACCAUAAACGAUGCCAGCUAGCGAUCCGCCGAAGUUCCUCCGAUGACUCGGCGGGCAGCUUCCGGGAAACCAAAGCUUUUGGGUUCCAGGGGAAGUAUGGUUGCAAAGCUGAAACUUAAAGGAAUUGACGGAAGGGCACCACCAGGAGUGGAGCCUGCGGCUUAAUUUGACUCAACACGGGAAACCUCACCAGGCCCAGACACCGGAAGGAUUGACAGAUUGAUAGCUCUUUCUUGAUUCGGUGGGUGGUGGUGCAUGGCCGUUCUUAGUUGGUGGAGCGAUUUGUCUGGUUAAUUCCGAUAACGAACGAGACUCUAGCCUGCUAAAUAGGCGUACCUUAUGGUAUCGCGAAGGCCCCCGGCUUCGGCCGGUGGGUUUUUACUACCAACGUACAAACAAAUCUUUUUAGAGGGACAGGCGG
RNAcentral lists this ribosomal RNA (819 nucleotides) under uncultured eukaryote. Its description in RNAcentral is "SSU rRNA". It matches the Rfam family "Eukaryotic small subunit ribosomal RNA", at positions 629 to 1426 of the family's 1831-position model. The record is from RNAcentral.